AAUACGACUCUCGGCAACGGAUAUCUCGGCUCUCGCAUCGAUGAAGAACGUAGCGAAAUGCGAUACUUGGUGUGAAUUGCAGAAUCCCGUGAACCAUCGAGUCUUUGAACGCAAGUUGCGCCCCAAGCCUUUAGGCCGAGGGCACGUCUGCCUGGGUGUCACAC
RNAcentral lists this ribosomal RNA (164 nucleotides) under Biophytum abyssinicum. Its description in RNAcentral is "5.8S ribosomal RNA". It matches the Rfam family "5.8S ribosomal RNA". Rfam says of the family: 5.8S ribosomal RNA (5.8S rRNA) is a component of the large subunit of the eukaryotic ribosome. It is transcribed by RNA polymerase I as part of the 45S precursor that also contains 18S and 28S rRNA. Functionally, it is thought that 5.8S rRNA may be involved in ribosome translocation. Lineage: Eukaryota; Viridiplantae; Streptophyta; Magnoliopsida; Oxalidales; Oxalidaceae. RNAcentral also lists the same sequence under 1 other name. The record is from RNAcentral.